Molecule: long non-coding RNA, 31411 nt
Filed under: Sorghum bicolor (sorghum)
Lineage: Eukaryota; Viridiplantae; Streptophyta; Magnoliopsida; Poales; Poaceae
Description: long non-coding RNA (SBIC_LNC011483)
Source: RNAcentral
CAAGAGAGGAGAACCGACAACAAUUGUACAGGUUAAAUAUCCCCGGUGGCCGGCACAGAAGCUGCCCGUACAGGUUAGAUCCUAACGCGUUAUAACAGGAACGUACAAAAGUGCACAGUAUAUUUUGUCCUCGGUAAAGAUGGCAACUACCAGAGGCCAAAUAGGCGUGCGAUCAAAGACGAGACAGGUGAGAACUUUUCUUGUGCGAUGCGCCGCCACAACGACGGAGAAAAAGGACAUCUGAAUACAAAAAAUCUACGGCUACUAUACUAGUACUAGUACCUAACUACCAGUAACCAGAACUAUAUUUCUGUGCGCCACGGCCUAGCUUCCACCUUGCCCAGGACUCCACUUUUUCUCACUUCUUACGAGGGCGUAAGACCCUUCCAGAUGGCAUCGGUACAGUAGUAGUUUUCUUGCGCUUGAUGCCAGGUGAUGUCUUCUCAGUUACUUGCACCUUCACCCUCUCCUUUACUGCAGUGGUGAAAUCAAUACCAUCCCCAUAAGAAAUGUUAACAACAGAAGUGUAGUCAAUGAGCUAGAGCUGUGAACCAAGUUUAAACUGCAACCAAUGUAUUGCUGUUAUUGCAUAACUCAUUCUUAUAGAAACAUAGAAUUACUAGUACUAUAUUCAUUCUGAACUUGAAUCAAAUAUACAAGAAUAUACAAGAAAUCCAGAAACAACUAGCUCUUUGAAAAGGCACAUGCACAUCAUGGAUCCCUUUUUUUUAUUUGGAUGGAAGCCACUAAGGUUGAGAACAGAGCCAAUUCAGAUGCUACAUCUGGCUAAAUACUAUUUGUAUGUGUACGCGUAUUGCCUCUUCCUUUGCUUAGUGCACUAGCACUGGAGCGCCAUUGUUGAUGCGCUUUGUCAAAUCUCUAUAGCUACUUGCCUUAAAAAUACUCUUCUUACUAGCCUCAAAGAGCACAUGCUUCUAACAAUCAUGUGAAUCAAUCAAAGUACAUUCUAACAACUAUGGAAUUACCAUUAAGAUAAGGUUACUAUCAUGUUAAGCGUAAUCAAAGAAAAUAAGAAAUACAUAUUAGCUUUCACCUCAAACUUUUUACCUGCUGUAAGGCAAUAAAAUCCUAGAGGCAGGCUUAGAGUGUGCUCCUGGCACUUGAUGGGGUCAUAAACCUUUAACUGAAACAUCAUAUCACAAUUGUUAACCUUUCUUAAGUUCACAUUCUGAUAUUGCAUAUAACUUCAAAUAUACCUUCAGAACAAUCUUGGAUGAUUUAUUUUUCCUCUCCAGAAACUUCCAGCCAAGAGAAAGCAAAUACUCCUCCAACUGGGAACAGAUUUUGAACACAAUAAGAACAGAUAUAUUUUCAAGUAUAUAUAACAAAACUAGAUAUAUUCUCAGUUUUUCACCUCUGGCAUAGUCUUAGAGCACACCCCGUUAACUGAAACAAUCACAUCCCCACGCCUAAUCCCAAUAAUUUCUGCAGUGGAGUUGAUUGCUACCUAAAAAAAUAAAAUGAGUUACAAUAUCGACAACGCAUAUAGUUGAAUAGAUUGCAUACAAGUUAUUGAAUAGAUUCAUACCUCAUCGACGAUGUAACCACUAUCAAUAUUAUGUUGAUACAAGAUUUCUUCCCUCUUAUGCAUGUCCAGAAACUGCACCGCUCUCAGACACAAAUGAUGUUCUGGACGAGCUAUACAACUAAAAACAGUUCACAUUUAAUCAAUAAUCAAAUAUAGAAUUAAACUAUAUAUCUAUUAAAAUUCUAUACAUGCCAUUUUUAACAGCAAAGAUAACUUAAAUAGGAGUAAAAAUUUCAUCAACAAAAUUGUUGACUAAUAUGUCGUUACUCAUAUUUCCAUGAACCCCUUAUAUUGCUAAUUUACUCUUUGCUUGAUUAAUUCAGCCCUCAUCUAAUCUCUACUAUGUGAAUUCUACGCCAAACCACAGGCAUCAGAUAGGGCCAAGUUGCCAUUAGCCCGCUAACCAUUAGAUCUAACAAAAUGCGAUAUGGACCAUUCGAUCAGACUGUAAUUGGUUUUCACCCAUGAAGCCACGAACUUGCUCGGCAAACAACUCAUUCCCUUGGCAGCGUGUCUCCUGUCUCCAUCCUCCUGCUGUCCUCAGCCAUCCCCGCAUGCACAGCCAGAGCAGGCUACGACAGCAGCACUGGCACACAGUGGGUCAUCGACACCGGCCCGCCGCAAUGGCCUAGGAUGGUGUACCAUGCCACCCCCCCCCCCCCUCCCCUGGCCCCGAACUCACCUCCCCUUCCAUCGCCGCUGCCCCUCAUCGGCACCCUCAACAGCAACAUGGUGUUGCCACCAGAGACGUCAAGUUCAGCAGCCAGUGCAGCGAGCGCAAAGUUCUCCACAUGGGCACCGUUAGCCAGCACCUCUGUUUUCCUGCUUGAUUGUGUGCUUUUCAUUAUUUAAAAGUGACUUCUUCCUGAUAAGUAACAAUCUUAUCCUAUUUCCACAAACCUCACUUCAGGGACAGGUAAAGAAAGUGUGCAAUAACAGAACCAUGUGGGAGUGCAAAAUUGAAGUAUCCUUGCUCUGUCUUAAAAUGUAUCCUAGUGUCCUGGUUAUCAUAUUCCCUAGCUUGACACAACUUAAAAUUUCAAGUGUCAAAAGAGUUGCUCACUGCUUUGAAUAAUUGAAUCUAUGAAUAUUAGCAGCAACUUGACCUUAUUUAACUACUGCUUGACAAACACUGUGCAAUGUCCUCUAUAGGUAGGGAAGAUAAUUAUAUUAGUUCUCGUAUAGUCAAUGCUCUGCAGGCUGCAAUGCUUAUGUUUGCCAAUAACAAGGUAAAGUAAAUGUGGCGUAUUUUAGUUUGAAUGCGCAAUUCUAAAGUUUUGAUUAUGAUAUAAUCUGAAACUCUGAACUUCGUUGCUGAAAUUGGUGGCCUGCUGAUGCUCCAUCAUGGGCCGUUCCAUGAAGCGGCUCAGGUACCCGAUGGCGAACGCCAAGUCCGGCCAGGUGUGCACGAGGUACCGCAGGCUGCCGAUGAGCCGCCGGUACUGCGUAGGAUCCACCUCCUCCGCUGUGCUCUCACGGCUGAGCUUCAGCUUCUCUUCUAUCAGUGUGGCGGCUGGGUUACAGUCCUCCAUCUUCCCCAGCUGGAGGAUGCGCUGCGCGUAGUGAGCUUGGUGGAGGGUGAUGCCCUUGGCAUCUGUAGAAGCAGAGGAGGCCGAGGUCACUCAUCUCGAACUGAUCGUAGAACGCGUUGUAGAGCAGCGGCCGCGAUCACCGCGGCUGCUACCUCGGCCACGGCGAGACAAGCCCCAUGGCUGCCGGGAUCGAUGGCCUUGCCGUCGCUCUUCAGCAAGCUCUCGCUCUUGCUCCCGGCGGCUGCGGCGGCCAGAUGCGCUCUCUCAUCGGAGUUGGAAGACAUGGUGGUGGCGGAGGCUGGGAAGGGGCUUUGCUAACCCUAGGCUUCGGAUACCGAUCGUUGCCCAAACAUCACAAGCAAAGGUAGAGAUGAAUCCUAGAGGUCAGCUUGAUCUAUGGGCUACUUGGAUUGAAUCUGAAAGUUGCAAAGCCUGAAUUUACAAAGAAAUGACUGCUGCUUAUAUAGAGCAGAGCCUCUACCAACUACUCAACAUAUUCUUUCAUAAAGCAAGAUGAUUAGACUACUUGAUUGCCAACGCUUCUCAUUAUCAACUUGAAUGAGAGCCAAAGAACCUCUAGUGCAUAAAGGUAAAGUUGCACGAAAGUAAAAUACCUGAAGUUCCUUUCCAUUUCAACUAAUUUUCUGAUAAUAGAGCUUGGAAGAACGGCAGUUUUUGACCAAUCAACAAAAAAAGCCAAUCCAGCAAUAUCACCAUCUCGAUCAAUUACUAAUCCAAAUGUGCUAACCUGCAUUAAACAUGUACAAAUAAUUUAAUAGAGCAAUAAAGUAAGAUGCAACAUUUGAAUACACGCAAUUUAGUUAAUACCUCAGGAAGCACACAGCUCACAUACAAAUAAUAAUUGCGGUCCACACAAGUUUCAUUAUAACACAUGACCCUCCCUGACGUCGUCAAUAGCGAAGAAUCUUCAUCUCUCGCCAUUACAAAUACCUUGUCUCCGUAAUCUGGACUUGACACAAAAGAAGGGCAUCGCAAUGGCAUAUCAACUGAGAUCUCCAAAACAGCAAUGCCAUAGUAGCGAUCAAAAAACAAAAGCUCUCCAUUCUUAAUUGUCAUAUUUGGCAAACGAACAAGUAGCUGAAAAAAAGAGUAAGUUAGAAAGACAAAUUAUAUGAAGCGAUAAGAUUACAGUUAAGACAUCAUUUCAUCAAAUAACGCAUCGCAUAUAAACAAGGAAAAAAACCAAAAGUACUCAACCCUUGGCUCCAACGUGAUCAUGUUGCAAAUGCAUGAAAUGUUCCACAUUUUUAAGUAUGUGAUCAUAUUGCAUUGGUGUUAUGAUGAGUGACAUACAGGCACGCUGCUAUGGAUGGUUUUUGGAUAAAUCGACUGUGGUGUAGACUGUUUUGGAGGAAAAAAUACAAAGCUAACUGCUAAGAUGUGAAACUGUAUUUGCUUGGCUAAGUAACGUCAUUUUAGGCUAUCCUAAAAAUCAGUCAUUUAUAUCAAAUUCUAAACAUGUACUGGAGGUCUGUUGUUUUCGUGCACUCUUUGUAAAGUUUUGAAGUGUAGUUAAAUAGUACUCUUCCAAAUUUUAAAUCUUUUAGGCUUUUAUAGAUACAAAGCUAAGCUUUUACUUUGUAUCUAGACAUAAUGUAUAUCUAAGUGUAAUACGAAAUGAUAUGUACCUAGAAAAGUCAAAACGAUUUACAAUUUGGGACAGGGAAUAGCAAUCUUCUAAUUUAUUCAGUUGUCCAGCAAAGCACAGGAUGGAAAAGCAGCAGCAAACAAGAACAGCGAAAAGUACCUUAGUUUGACUGCUCUAAACUUUGUUGAUUUCUUAAGAUCCAAACCAGAACUCAGUCAAUUUUAUUAUUUUGAUAUUGGGGUUAAUUUGAGGGCCAAGGAACCCCUAAUGCAAAAGGUAAAUGUGCAGAAAAGUAAGAUAUACUCCCUCCGUCCACAAAUAAUUGCACAUUUCGUUUCCCGAUGAGUUAAACCUUUUAAAGUUUGACCAAAUAUAUACAAAAAUAUACUAAUAUUUAUCAUAUGUAAAAUGUAACAUUAGAUUGAGCAUGAAAUAUAUUUUUAUAAUAUACUUAUUUGCAGAUACUGUGAGUGAUAAUCUGCUGUCCCCCUUUUCUCCUUGCCCUGCGUUUUGCAGGAACAAGUGGUCAGCUUCAGCUGCCACUGUAGAAGUAUGGCAAUAGGCCAUUCAGUCAUCCAUAGUUGGUAGAAGUACACCAGCUAGAGUAGAGGGCUGGUAUAGGCAGGUACUAAAGUACUUGAUUGUUAGAGUAUGUGUAAUGCAUGCCCAUGUGGCUAGGCCCAUGAGGCCCAUGUAUCCCUAACUAUAUCGCCACCCUGGUUAGGGUUGGCCCAAGUAAUGAAACCCUAAUUCUAACAUGGUAUCAGCUAGGGCUCUUCUCCCUCCUCCAGCCCCAGCCGCCGCCUGCCUCUAGCCGGCCGGCCGGCACGCCGCCAGCCAUGGCUGGCCGCCCUCCUCAUCCUCCUCCCUCCUCUGCUUAUCUCCAUUCUUUCCCUCCCCUUCCCACCUCUUCCUGGGCCCAGAUAACUGCUGCCGCCGCCCAUCCACCCGCGCCUGAAGCACGCUCUGUACACCCGACGACGGGGAAGGAGCACCUCAGCGUCGUGGUGUACGUCGACGACCUCAUCAUCAUGGGCGCACGCGCGAGUGACAUCGCGACCUUCAAGGAGGAGAUGGCGGUACGUUUCAAGAUGAGCGACCUCAGCGCUCUCCUACUACCUCGGGAUCGAGGUAAGGCAAGGGGAGGAUGCCAUCAGGCUUGGGCAAAAGGCAACGCGCAUACGCGAUGAAGCUGCUUGAGCGGGCCGGGAUGGUGGGCUGCAAGACGGUGGCCACGCCGAUGGAGGAGCGGGUCAAGCUCUCCAAGGCAAGCACAGCAGCGAAGGUGGAUGCCACACUCUACCAGAGCAUCAUCAGCGGGCUGCGGUGGCUCACACAUACACGGCCGGACAUCGCGUUCGCUGUCGGGUAUGUGAGCAGGUUCAUGGAGGACCCCUGUGAAGACCAUUGGAUGGCGGUAAAGCGUCUUCUACGCUACGUCUCCGGCAUGGCGGAGCUGGGGUUGGCCUACCCCAAGCGCGGCAGGCUUUGGCUGACUGUGUUCAGUGAGGCCCCGCCCAAGGAUGCGGAUAGCGCGCUAGAGCUCACGGCGUUCAGUGAUGCAGACAUGGCGGGCGACGUGGAUGGGUGGCGGAGCACCUCCGGCGUACUUGUCUUCCUGGGAGCGGCGUCGAUUGCUUGGCAGUCAUUGUGGCCCUGUCCACCUGUGAAGCGGAGUACGUGGCUGCGGCCACGGCGGCAUGCCAAGUGGUGUGGCUGCGGUGGCUAUUGACAGAGCUCACCGGAGCUCGAGCUCUGCCACCGGCGUUGAAGGUUGACAACCAACCAGCCAUUGCAUUGGCCAGAAUCUGGUGCUCCAUGAUCGCAGCAAACACAUCGACGUGAAGUUUCAUUUCCUUCGGGAUUGCGUCGAUGGAGGCCAGAUUGUCAUUGAGUUCGUCAACACCAAUUGGCAACUUGCUGACAUCCUCACCAAAUCCCUUGGCAGGCUUCGGUUCAUGGAGCUGAGGGGGCUGAUGGGCAUGGUGGAGAUCAAGGACUGACAGGCAGGAUUAGGGGAAGAUUGUGAGCGAUAAUCUGCUGUCCCCCUUUUCUCCUUGCCCUGCGUUUUGCAGGAACAAGUGGUCAGCUUCAGCUGCCACUGUAAAAGUAUGGCAAUAGGCCAUUGGGUCAUCCAUAGUUGGUAGAAGUACACCAGCUAGAGUAGAGGGCUGGUAUAGGCAGGUACUAAAGUACUUGAUGGCUGAUAUAAGCCAUGUAGAGUAGUUGUAUGGAGUGGUGUAGUCACCAUGCAAGUAGUGUACCAGCAGGUACAUGUUUUGUGUAUAUAUACUCUGCCUAUGCAAUCAGAAAAGGCAGUUCAUUGCCACCAUUUGCAGUGUCCAGUCUUCAGCCAACGCUGAAGACAGUUGUGUGCUGCGUGUGUGCUGAAGUGAGCUCUGCUCAUCUUCUACCUUGGGACAGGGGAGAAGGAGAGCCGAGGGGAGCAAGUGCUGCUCACCUCGGGCAAGUGCUGGGCCAACAGAUACAAAUACUGAUAUUAUUUGAUAUAUUUCUAGUCAAACUUAAAAAAAGUUUGACUCCUCAGGAAGCGAGAUGUGCAUUUAUUUGUGGACGGAGGGAGUAUGUGCUAGCUUAAUACUGUCAGGCAGGUUAUGAUGACUAGCAUGUUUGCAGGCCUAAUAAUAGCAAACAAGUAGAUGAACCAAAAGUGCAUAUCAGUGACUUUGUGUACCUUGCGAUUGAGCAAUUUCCCUUCAAAAUCACAGACAGUAUCAGAAGUGGUCAGUAUCCUAGCAUGCUCAUCAGACUCAGAUGGACCAAUGACGACUCCAGUAAACUCCCAUACUGGCACCCCAUCUGAAAACAGGAGCAACUGAUGUCAAGAUUAGCUAUGAGGGAAUUAUUGUGUAACCUAUAAUAAUCUAACUGCAAGAUCGGAAUAAUGAAUUUACCAUCUCCAACCCGGGUAGAGGAAAUGCUGACAAUCGAGCUAGAUAGCCUAAAAAGCAUCUCCCUUUGCCUCAUGGAGAUCACCUCACUGGAAGAAGGCGUCUCCCUCCCCUUUGUCUCCCUCAAGAUAGGAGGAUUGGAGACAGGAUCUGAACAGAGAGACCACACCCAAAAUAAGAGUUAGCAGGGGAAAACCUUCAUUGGAGGAGUAAGUAAUAAUGAAAAACAACCGUUGGCAGCCUUCUCGUAAGCCACUCUAGUAGCCUCGUGCCACUCUGCGAUGUCUUGCCGGCUUCGACCCUUGGGGAAACUGGGGCAUCUAUGAGGGAGAGGACGGCUGCUCGCGAUGAGGGGGAGGGCAUCAUCUGUCCACUCCUCGUCCUCCGCCUCUUCUGUGAUGGUCGCGCUCGUCUGCUCGGCAGUGACGGACUGGGUCUCCACUAGUCUCCCGCCCGCCUCCCACAACCAUGUUGUCUUGCUCUUGCCGUUCGUCGUCUCCACCGCCACAGCCGAAGAGGGCUCCCCGGCAUGUCUGCUCUCCGUUCUCCUCCUCCUCGGCACCGGCGUGUCGCGAUCCAUCUCAAGCGCAGCCGACAAACGCGUCGCCGGUGAGAGGGAUCUAGGGAUUGGAAACUGGGGUUUGGGAACGAACGAAAUCUGACAGUUUGAGCCUCAGCGCAGCCGACAAAUGCGUCGCCGGUGAGAGGGAUCUAGGGAUUGGAAACUGGGGUUUGGGAACGAACGAAAUCGGGCAGUUUGAGCCUCCGAGGGCGCCGCCGGGCUCGAAGCCUCGAACGGAACCGCGACUUAUCACGUGGGCGACGUCGGCGUGCAAUCAGGCCAUCAUCCAUUCAUCCUACCGUCCGCAGGGCGCUCCCCAUCCACAUCCAACGACAACAACUUUUUUUUUUUUUUUUGAGGAAGACAACAACUGUGUCAUGUGCUCCACCCUUCCAAGUAAUAGGCCUUGGCCCAACAAGAGACUUGUUGCAGAAUGCAGAAAAGGGUGUCAUGUGGCCCAACAACUUCUUUUUUUAUUUGGGUUGUGUGUGUGGUAACGAAAAAUUAAUAAUUAAUGUCAUGAUAAUUUGAGAAUGAAUAUGUGUUACAUUAUACUCCCUCCGUCCUAGUAUAUAAGGCAUAACCUUUUUUUUAUUCAUGUCCUAUGAUAUAAGUCAUGCUCUCUCACAAACACAAAUAUAUAGUAGUAUAAGUGUUGUGAGAGAGAAUUAAAUAUGUUUUUAGUCUUUGAACCAGAGAUGGUUACGCCUUAUAUAUAAUAGGACGGAAGGAAUAUAUAUUACUAAAUAAAAAUACCCAGUAGUUCAAGCAGCGGCAUUCUUCCAUGCCAUGUUUUUUCCUCAUACAUACAUUGGAAAUAACGAUUGACUCUUCUUACCGUUUGAAGUGUGUUAUAUUAUUAUUAAAAAUACCCUGAUAAUUCAAGCAAUUGCAUUUUUUUCAUCCCAAAGUUUUUUCUUUCAACAGAUCGUGGUUGUGCGACAAUCAUUAUACUAAUUCGCCAGAUGGAUCAGAUUUGGGUCAUUUGGUGUUAAGAGGUUCUCAAAUGUUGUAGAACCACCAUUAUUAUAAUAACUAUUAUAUUGUCCAUGCCAAUGUUAAGUCAAAAGUUAAUGAGAUAUUUACCUAUAUGGCCUCAGAAAAAAUGCAUCUUUCUUACAUGAACCUUUUUAUUUUGAACUUACUCAUAUGACCCCAAACAAUAUUUUCUUCCUUCUAUGGCCUUUCGUCCAUUUUUUGGCACUUGAUGGUGUUAAAUCAAUGUUAUAAUGACCACUUUACCCCUAACAAAAAAAUGCAAAAUUUUAUUUGUCUGCCGUAUAUUUUAAAACUUAUUUGUCUAAUAUUACUACAAACUUACUUGUAUAUUUUCAAACUUAUUUGUGUAAUAUUACUAUAAAUUUACCUAUACAUUUUAAAAUUUAUUUGUGUAAUAGUACUCCAAAUGUAUACUAGACAAAUAAACUCUGGAUUUGUUUGUCAGGGGCAAAUGGUCAUUUUAUCCUUGACUUAACACCGUUAGGUGCAAAAAAUAGAUAGAAAGCCAAAGAAAGAAGAUAAUUUUAUUUUAAAGCCAUACAGGUAAGGUCAAAAUAAAAGAGGUCAUAUAAAGAAGAUGUAUUUUUUCAGGGACAUAAAGUUAAAUGGCUAAAAGUUAAUUCUAGAACAAUAAUGAUCUCACGCCAUGCUAACGUCAGUAGUGUGCCAUGAUAAGGUUGAAACAACUUCGUUUUAGCCUAAUCAUAGCAUCUUUGGUCAUUGGUCAAUGCCAUGGUCAACAGAAGCGUGGCAUUAGGCCCUAAUCAUUGCAGGGUUUUUUUUUUGUAACAUAUCACUACAGUUCACAAACUAAAAGACAUUAAAUAAGUUAACAGGCAGUUAUUAUAACCCCUCAGAGAUCCAAUUUAAAUCACACCACAGCUGAAUUAAACAAUUAUUACAGAUGGAGCUCCAUUCCAAAUCAAAUCACAGAGGUUACGUUCAUAGGAGACACUUGCAGCAAAAGAAGAGCUGAUGUUUACAUUGUUAAACGGCACUUCCUAUCGGUAGGUCUUGAAAUCCUCAUGGGGACAAUAACUACAUCUAUAUAAUCAUAUUAAACUAACAUGAGUACAUGACCAAAACAAGAAAUAUCUUUAUAAUACGUAGUCACAUAAGCAACACUGCAACAGCAAGCCAGAAUUUUUUUGGCAUAAGUAAUCUGACGGUAAUUCUAGAUUGGCAUACUACAGAUCACAUGACAGUGUAAAUUUGUAAAGAUACUUGCCUAGAGCAGAUUAGGACUGUAGUGAAAUUUGAUUAGUUUCUUUGUGCUCGGAUCAAAUUCAAAGAAACCCCUUUUCACUUCUUUUUUGUUUUUUUUUCUGUGGAUGAUGAGGCAAGAUGGAAAAAUAGCACAUAAGUUACAAGUCUUCGAGGUUCUAUAUGUAUUGACAGUUUAGCUUGAGUUUCCCAUAGGUAUAUAUAACUACAAGUGGUGCUUACUAGAUUUAAGGGGCUUUGAAGUUUGAAAAAAAAUAUGCUAAUGAAUUAUAGCUCACUUAAAUGCCUAUUUGGUCAAUGUCUUGAUCAACUAAUGUUGUUUUCACCGAUCCUCUAAAACUGGCUUCAUGGAUGUAGAUUGCGAAGUGAUGUAAAAAUUGGUAGAGAUUUUUUAUCGCGUAUGUUAGGUUGAUCUCACCUUAUAUCUUAAACUUUAGAUUUAUCUGUUUUCCUAUUCCAUCACAGGUUUGUUCACAGAGCACGCUUCAUCGUCACGGUCAAUCACCGAUAGAUUUAACAACUACAAUACACAUCUCUGUUCUGAAAUAGAUUCUUUAACUAUGGAACCUUAUUGUCUAAAAAUCAUAGGUCUUCCCAUAAACCCAUGUCGAGUGUGUGUUCUCUAAACACUCUGGGUGGUAGUCUUUGGUAAGUGGAUCUGUGAGCACUUGCUCAAUACUUUUAAUAUGAUUCCGGACUAUCUCCUUCACAAUGUAUAACUUAGUGUCAAUGUGUUUGGUAGCACACUUGACCCAUCGUCAAAUGAGUCAAAUACUUAAAUGAUUAUUGCUGAUGUAUACCAUUAUCAAUUUUGGAUGUUAGUUCUCUUAACCAUUUUGUCUGUCCUUUAAGCAUCAUAACAAGCUAAGUAUGGGUAUGCAUAACAAUGGUACCAAAGCUAGGUUUUUACCCUAGCGUGUGAUCUAGAGAGAGAGAGAGAUGGUGAUACACAAACCGUUGUUGGAGGGAAGUGCAGGCACGGUGGAGUUGGAUCCCAAGGCUGCCAUGCCAUGGGUGGUGAAGAUCUGUGCUAGGGCAAAGAUGGUUGAAGAAGAAUGGACGAUGAAGAGCAGUGGAGGAGCUUCCCAUCACUUGGUUGUGCCCCUACUCGAGAUUGGUUUUAGGGUUGUGUUGGGGGGAGUGGCGGCUCACGGUCAACCUCAUAUUGAGAGCCGUCAACCCCCACCUCUUUUAUAGUGAAGGAUGACACGGGCCCUCUAGCCAUAGAUGGGUUGGACACCCGCGAUCAGGGCACGAGUCAAGACCUAAUUAGGUUGUUGGGCCUUCAAGGAGUGCACCGACCAACGAGCACUUGGUGCUCGGGGACUGGUCGUCAGAUUUGUUGAGACUGCUCCGACCACCGAGCGCUUGAUGCUCGGGGACUGGUCGUUUAGUUUAUUGGUUUGGAAAUCAGCAAGCCGAACCGGACGCCGACCAUUGUACACCCGGGGACUGGUUGACCAGCUCGGCGAAUUGCAAACUCUAUGGUAAAUGAGCAUGAGAUGCUUGGGGACUGGAUAAUUUCGGUUUUUUUAGACCUUGCUACAAGGUUCAUACUUCGCCUUCCAGCAAGCUCGAGGAAUACAUCGAUACGAUGCAUCUAGCGAUGCAUCUCACAUUCAAAGCAGCUUUGGAGAUUCUUUUUUGGACCCUGGCACCACGUGACUACGUCACCUGCUACCAGGCUCGGGGACUAAGUGGGCACACUUCACCUUACGGUGAACUUGCUUGUCUUGUUGAUGGACUGUGCUUUUCACGAAAGUAAAGUGGGCACACUUCACCAAAAAAGGAAUAUUUUUUCUCAAGAGCACCAUGCAUUCUUCGAACAAUUGGCUCCUUCGACGAUGAAGUUAAUUGGAUGCCUUUAGAUUUGUUCAUACUGUUGUCGCAACUAUUUGGGGCAAUUUUCAUAAUGAUUGAAGAUAUUAAGUUUCAUUGGUCGAAGAAGCUCAAGACGGCGUGUUACUUCACAAUACAUGGUGCUCGGGGACUAGCUGUGGGGAUAUAAACCCCUAUACCCUUACGGCUAGACUUGGGCCAGGAGGCUUGGCCCAUUACGAGACAAGUUCGAAGCUUGAUCCGACAGCUCGGAGUUUCACGCAAGGGAAUAAGACGUGGAGAUCAAGCAAGAUUCUAGUUGGUUAGAAUAGGAAUUGAUACCGAACUAUCUAUGGCAAUUGUAACCGACUAGGAUUAGUUGUCAGAUCUGUAACCCUGCCCUCCGGACUAUAUAAGGAGAGGCAAGGGACCCCCCUAGGACACAUUAUUCCCUCAACACAAAUCAAUACAACCAGACGCAGGACGUAGGUAUUACGCCAACUCGGCGGCCGAACCUGGAUAAAAAGCUUGUCCGUGUCUUGCGUCACCAUCGAGUUCGUAGUUUGCGCACCGUCUACCGAUAAACUACUACCGUGGGUAUACCCCAAAGUAGACUGCCGACCAGCUUUCGUCGACAGUGGGAGAUCAAUCCAACAUUGUCCCCCUUGAUCUCAACAUAUACUUUAACAUUUAGCUUUGACUUAAAUACUUUUCACUUUACCUGUUCCAUCACAAAUAAGCACAUAGAGUAUGUAUCAUCGUCAUGGUAAAUUAAAGAUAGAUUAAUCGCUACAAUACACAUCUCUAAUCCAAAAUAGUUACUUUAACUUUGGGCUCUUUAAUUGUGCAUGAAUCAUAGGCUUUCCCUUAAACCCCCAUGAAUCAUAGGCUUUCCCUUAAACCCAUGCCGACUACAUGUUCUUUAAACAUGUUAGGUGGUAAGCCUUUAGUAGUCGAAUCCGCGAGCAUCUUUUCAGUACUUAUAUGAUCAAGACUUAUAAUUUGAUCCCAGACUUUAUCUUUCACAACAAGUACUUUAUGUCAAUGUGUUAGGCAGCACCACUUGACCUUUUGUACUGAGCGUAUUGUACCGUUGUAUCAUUAUCAUAGUAUAACUUUAGUGGUUUAUAUAUGCUAUCGACAACCUUCAAACCGGGUAUGAACUUUUUUAACCAGUUCAUGUGCCCCCGUCGCCUCAUAACAUUCUACAAACUCGACAUAUAUUAUGGACGAUGUAGCAAUGGUUUGUUUUGAGCUUUUCCAUGAAAUAGGUCCCCCUGCGAGAGUGAACACAUAUCUAGACAUGGAUUUUCUAUCAUCUCCCACAUAAUCAGAUUUUGUGUACCCUACUAUGUGCAAGGAAUCUGAUCUUCUAUACAUUAGCAUGAGGCCUUUUGUGCCUUGCAAAUAACGCAAGACUUUCUUUACUAAUUUCUAGUGUUCUAGUCCUAGAUUGCUUUGAAAUCUACCAAGGCCUUGUUUAGUUCCGAAAAAAUUUCGGAUUUCGCUACUGUAGCACUUUCGUUUUUAUUUGACAAAUAUUUUCUAAUCAUGAACUAACUAGGAUCAAAAGAUUCGUCUCACGAUUUACAGACAAAAUGUGUAAUUAGUUUUUAUUUUCGUCUAUAUUUAAUGCUUCAUGCAUGUGCCGCAAGAUUUGAUGUGACGGGAAAUCUUGAAAACUUUUUGGAUUUCAAGGUGAACUAAACAAGGCCCAAGUAACCUAGUAACAAAUGCUAGGUUAGGGCGCAUACACACUUGAGCAUACUAUAAGCUUCCGACAGCUAAAGCAUAUAGAACCACUUUCAUUUGAUCGAGCUUGUACUGGUUCCCAGGGCAUUGAAAAUCCCCAUCUAUCGCCAUUGACUGUGGGUGCAGGUGAUGCACUACAUUUGUGCAUGCUGAAUUUUUUUAGAACCUUUUCUAUGUAUGUCUUUUGUGACAGUCCUAAUACCCAUUUUCUUCUAUCUCGGUGAAUUUCUUUGCCCAAAAUAAAUGAAGCUUAACCAAGAUUUUUCAUAUCAAACUUAAAACUUCUUUGUCUCUAGUAGUAGACUAACAUCACUACUAACAAGUAAGAUAUCAUCUACAUAUAGGAUUAGAAAGUUGUAUUUUCCAUUCUUAAAAUUUGCAUAAACGCAAUUGUCCUCAACGUUUGCUUUAAACCCAAAAUUCCUUAUUGUUUUGGCAAACUUCAAGUACCACUAUCUAGAAGCUUGCUUUAAUCGGUUUCUUUAGGUGGCAUCCCAUUCCUUCUUUGCCUUCCAUGACAACCUUUUGGUUGUGCCAUGUAAACGUUUUCCUCUAGAUCCCCAUUGAGGAUUGUUGUAUUUACAUCCGUCUGAUGUAACUCUAAAUUAUAGUGUGCCACUAAAGCCAUUAUGGUUUUGAAGUAAUCUUUACAUGAGACUAGAGACAAUGUCUCAUUAUAGUCAAUUCCUUCUCUUUGCAUGAACUAUUUUUGCCAUAAGUCGUGCUUAAUAUCUUUCAAUAUUCCCUUGGGGGUCUAAUUAUAGUAAAUCCCUUCUCUUCCUCCUGCUCGUUGGGCUCCUUCUCACCUCCCCCUCACUCCUCGCACCCACCAGCAGCCGCGACAUGAACUCAAACAUGCGGCCUCCGCUUUGCUCGUCCGGGAACGCUUCCUCCUAGCCGCGGCGGGCAAAGCCGGCGCCAGGGGCGAGGAGGCGCCGACCAGGCUCGGCGGGGAAGUGCGCUCCGUGGAGCCAGGGGCGAUGGUGCAGAUGGCCAUGGGGCUUCGGCCGCCGCGGCGGCGGGCGACGGCAUCCCGGCGCGGACGGAGAGGAUGGAGCCGACAGGGCACUCGUGCCAGCAGAGGUCCUCGAUGCUGCGCGUGACCUCCUUAGCUCGGCGGCGGCGCGGUGGCGUUGAGGGGACGCUGGAGCGGCGUGGGAUCGGACGACGAAAUUAGGCUGCCAUGGGCUCGACCUCGGCAUCGGUGCGGGCGAGGCCCCCGAAGUCGUGCGAUGCCCUGGUGGCAUAGAUCCAGUCGCACGGGGAAGGGUGCUGGCGCUCCCAAGGUAGCGGGGCUGCUGCGCUGCGGCAACUUCACUGAAGACGAGGACAAGCGGUGACGAGAAAGCCACACGGGGCUGGCUCGGGCUUGGCUCCAGGAGAACGGCCAAUUCGGGCGUUCAAUACUGGCCAGGCUCCAGGCGUACGGUCGGCUCUGGUUAGCCAGGUCCCAAGUCUAGGACAGCCAACCAAACACCCAAAAAUUGGCCCAAGUGAGCCAUGGACAGGUUGGGGUGCCAACCAAACACACUCUAUAAGCUCUGUAUUGCUUUUGACACUCAAUUUAGAUGUGGAAACUAGGGCAAUACUCUAAGGUGGAGCAUUUGGGAAGGCCUGAGCAGCACAUUGAGUGCAUCAUGUCUUGUUGCACGUGGAUUCACACGUACUCUCCAUGCUGUGUCUCUAUUUCGCGCCUAUGAGAAGCCAAGCCAACACCAUAUAUGCCCGGUGGCCAUGCCACGCCGAUGACCUUGCAUGGCGCUGUGCUGUGCGACAGUUUCUCGUCGCCAACACCAACUGCUGCCUGUUUCCUCUCCCAACGGGACGGACACGUAUGCUCAGCCAGCAGUGAUCGGCACCGCACCAUCAUCGUGCAUGCUCGCUCUCCUGUAGCCCGUUUGAAUUCCCCCGCAGCAGCUGCAUGCCAGCCAGUCGCUGACGCCGGUUUAAUUUGACCGCACACGCAAGCACCUGCACCGCGGGGGCAGCAGCGAACACCGCUGGCUGCGACACUGCUGCCGCCCGGAGGGCCCACGGGUCAGUGGCUAACGAUGCACUGCACCGCAGCCCAGCGGUCUCGAGGACGUGUCGUUUUUCUCCCGUCGAUCGACCGCCGUCUCUUGUUUUCACCGAGCCGCUCCUCCUCCUCGCCUCCUCCUCGCCUUGGAAACCUUCCCUUUACCCCGUACGUCCGCACUCCUCGAUCGAACGCGGGGCGGGGACGCCGUGACCUUGGUCCUUGGGUUGGGGUCCCGCUCGCCAGCUGCAGAGUCGGAAGCAGCUCCCCGUCAGGCGCCGUCACCACGCGCGGCUUUCUUCCUCUUCUGCUUUCCGUCCUCUCACUCACAACGGAAUAAACCCCUGGCCCCCCGACGCCCUCGCGCACCCGAGCGCGGAGCGGCGGCUCCCAACCCUCCUCACGCCACAAGACGUCUCCGUCCUCACCUCCAAGGGCAGGGCGCAGGGGCACGGCGUCGGCCUCUACGAUCGAGCUUCACCCUUGCCUGCGGCGCAGGAUCUGCCGUCGGUGACGGUGAGCCCCCCGCCGUCAAAGUUUCUACCUUUCUCACCAUCUCUGACUGCCAGCAACCUUCACCCGUUUCGUUUGGUGGUCAUGGUCACAGCACGGUGUCCGCAGCGGCAUCCCUCCGACCGCGAGCGUCUUGCCUUCGCCAAGACGCACUGCCGCGUCGAGCCUGCACCGCGUCCAACUACACCGGACGGCCACCCUGCUCCACAGGACGCGCACAGCACCGGCCACGCCACUCCCCCGUCUGUGCGUACGGCCUCCCUCUAACCAUCGGUGAGCCUUGCUCUGCCAAGCUCCGCCUUUUUUUGUUCCUUGGUUCGGAUUUGGAGGACACCCCUGCCUGUUCCGGCCGGCCUCCGGCCCGGCGAGUGCCGUGCCCAAGGAACAACCCACUGUGGCGUCAACGAGAGCACCAACACACAGCCUUGCACGAGCACGAGCUCAAGAUCACGCGCUCUGCCUUCCUGGCCACUGCUCCAUCGGCAGAACCGCGACCUCGCGAAAACCUUCCGGUGAGCGCACGACCAAAAGCCCUUCCUUUUCCUCUGUUGCCCUCCUCCCCCUUGCAAACACAGCCGGGAAUCCCCGGCCAUGACCGCGCUGGGGCGCAGUGCGUGCACGCCGCGCGAAUCAUGCCGACCACGUGCCUUGGCCUCUGCUGCCCUUGCCAGCCUCGCCGCGACGCGCACGGGAUGACCCGUGGACGCCGUCGCCACGUCAAGACCACGGCCAUGCUCGCAAGCACAGCACACCCACGGCCGACGCACCUCGUGCACGUAUGCCGAGCCCAAGCUUCAGCCUUCCUGCUGCCUAGCGGCCUAGCCUCACCCCCUGCCACACGCUCCGCACCAUGCCGGCACGAGGUUGCCCAAUCACCGCACGCGGGCGGCCGGGCGCACACACGCCCACCACCGAAGCUCCCUGCUGCCUCUGCUCCAUCUCUCCCAGUCUGCACAGUGCACAGCACGCCAAGGCCACGCUUUCGGCGAUUAGACCGGCCGAACCAGGGAGCGCCGUGGGUCUGUUCACGGACGGCAGCGCCCUCGGUUUUUCCAUCCAAGGCGCCCUUGGUGCGCGCCUUGACCCCUUUGUUGCCCUCCGCGCUUGAUCGUGGUGACGCAGCUAACCGUCGCACAGCCUGCACAAACACGAGCACCGCCGACACGGCCAACCAGUGCGACGCUGUUGCCAAACGAGCCUGAAUGAGCACGGCAGGACCGCUCGGGAAUUUUCACGAGCACCUAGGGAGCGCCCCGGUCUCCUCCUUACCUUCUCUUCUGAUCGGGGCGUGAAGCCCAAAGGCCGGAAUCAGCACCGUCCGGAGCCCACCUUCGCUCCUAGCCUUGGACUUUGGACUAAUACAUGCUUGCCGAUUGUUGUUGCUUUUCUAAAUCAGCUAUGGCGCAUCAUGGCCAAGACUUGGGAGGAGCACCAGGACCUCUUGGCUUCGACAGAGAGGAAGAGCGUCUGGUUGCCAUGGCAGCACUACCUUCACUGUUCUGUGUUCUUGUUAAUCCUCGGGGCUUGAUGGACAAUGAGGAGCUCAAAAAAAGAUACAAAAAAGUUGCAAAAGAUGUGGAGAAAGAUGAUAGGAGAUGUCGUGGUAUCAAAAAUCUUGAUGAUGCUAUCACAGCUAACACAAGAGAGAGGCAAGCAACUGGUUUUGUGGUGGCAGCCAAUGACACUACUCUGAGGGUCCUUACAUGCGCCCAUGUCAUUGCCGACAUUUUUACAGCAGACAACCAUAACCAGUUCAAUCUUGAAGAAGUGAACGCCCUGUUUAGGUUUGAUGUUCACUGUUAUCACCAUGAGGUAAAUGUUCGCACAAGGCUCAUCAAUCAGAAAAUAUCUGAGCGCCUCAGAUUUCCUACUCAGACACGAGUUAUUGCUCUGGAUACUCAGAAGGAUUUGAUGGUUCUCGAGUUUGAUGUUGGAUAUCUGUGUGACAGAGAUGAGACAGAUGUGGGAGGUGCGAGGACCUGGUGCGAAGCCAUGCAUCCAGUUAUCCAUAGAGCUGAUGCAGAUCCUAGCAAGAUGCAGAAGAUGGUCCUAGCUGGGUGGCCACCUCAAAGAGCUGGUUCUUGUGCCAUUGGGCAAGUUUCCUUUUGUCAUUGGACAUAUGAUGCCAUCACUGCGGUAAAUUUUAAGGGAUACACCAUGAGGCUGUUAGAGAUUCCUGGUAUGGUAGCUGACAACGGAUUCUCUGGCGCCCCUGUUCUAAAUGGCGCCGGCCAAUAUGUGGGUGUUUUUCAUGGUGUAUUUAAUCUUUCCACUGGAUAUGCUAUAUGUUCGCAGGAUGUGAGGGACUUUCUUCAGGAACACAACGUGGUACGUUUAUGUGAUAAUAAUACAUAUCUGUUAUACACUUAUACUAGGUACUAACUGUGUUUAAUUAUUGUUCUAAUUUGUAUUGUUCGUUUCAGUUGGUUUGGGAGCCCAACGAUGCCGAGGAAGCUUAGAGCAUCUUUCGCCGCCGCCUCUAUGCCUGCAGACGCCUCCCAACUGAAGCAGCUCUUCCCUCCGGAUCCCGCUACCACCCGCCUGUUGAAGCUAGCUGUGUGAACUAUGCACAGAUGUCUUUUGCUCAAGUCAGCCGUGUGAACAAUGUUGAAGCUACCUGUGUGAACUAUGUCAGGACAGCUGUGUGAACUAUGUAAUGUCAUUUGUGAUAACUAUGCUUCUGUCAGGUGUGUGAGAACCAAGUUAAAUAUAACCUCUGUCUGUUGGAUUCUAAUUUCUCUUGCCCUGUGUUGUCAACUAUGUUGCGGUCAAGUUGGCCUGUGCUCUUUUCCUUUCUUUUUCUGAACUGUGAAACUUGCUAGUCGGGUCCUCACUGCUGGUGCACUGCACCAAGCAGAUUCUGCUGCAGAUUGUCAUGCUGAACUUGCUCCUUUGCAAAAGCCAUGAAAAUUUCAUUCACCUGAAUCUUUCCUGAUGAAUGUUGUGCUUAAUGACCCAGAUUAACCCUUGAAUUUUAAUAACGCAAGCAAGCAUUGUAAAGAUUCUGAAGCCUGCUUUCUAACUAGAUGUCCACGUAUAACAGCUUGCAUUUUCACCGGAUGCUUCUGAUUCAGGAGCUCUUCCCUUGCCUGUAGUCAUGCAAAUGGAUAAUGCCUUGUUUUUUUACGUUGAUAAUAUAUAAAUAAUUAAUAACAUUGGAUGAGGAACAGCUAAGCAUAAUGCUAAAAGAGCAAUAAUUGCAACUUACAAUGCAAGUGCUGCUGCCAGGCUGAAGAUUAGUAGAUGCAGACUCCAAAUGAUCUUCCUCAGGGUCUGCACUGCUUCCUUCAACAAGUGAUGUGUUUUCCCCCUCCUUCGGCCCAGUUGAUGAGACAGAAAUAGUUUCAUCUGGCUCUUCAAUUAGUUCCUCAACUGCCCUUUCAGGUGUCUCUUCUGUUGCAUUUUCUAUUGUCCCUUCACCUGUAUUUUCAGGCCUUGUUUAGUUCACCCCAAAAACCAAAAACUAAACAAGGCCUCAGAUGUUGUCUCUGUUAUUUUUUCAGCUGGUUCUUCGGUUGGUGCAUCAUUUUUUUUUUCAGCUGGCUCAUCAGUUGGUGAUUCAGUUAUCUUUUGAGUAGGUAGUUCAAUUGAUUUUUCAAUUAUCUGGUAAGCUGGCUCUUCCAUAAGUUUGUCAAUAGGCUUUUCAAUUGGCUUCUCCAGCAGCUUUUCAUCAGAGUUCUCUUGAUGCAGAGGCUUGUCCUCUAGCUUCUCUUGAUGCAUGUAGCAAACUUGCCAAGCCUAGCAGAGAUUUUCUCGCUUGUGCGGGCGAGCCAAUUUUGUUCUCAAGGUUCCAAUGGCAGGCGACUAUCAAUUCGCCAUGUCGUAUUAUUGAGAUCGGCCAGCGACCUACAUGUGGGCAUUCAACAAGGCUGUCCAUGCAACAAUUAAGCUUUCCACCGCCGAAUUGAUCUUCUAUCGCCAAAACAAGUGCAUUGUUGUGCAGAUCUAGAUUCCCCCUUUGCUGAAUUGAGCCCCUUGCAGUUAAAUCGAGCCCCAGUCUUGCACAAACAAAUAAACGAGUCUGUUGUGAUCCCAACCAUACCUUAUCCCAGUAGAUUGGUGUCUCAUAGGGGUGCAAAUGAGUGAUGAUUAGGUGCACCUCUAAACCUCUUUAGUUCAAAUAUUUAUACUACUUCUCUAAAAAAAUUAAGAAGUAGUACAAAUAUUUGAACAAAAGAGGUUUGGAGGUGCACCUAAAGGUUACCCCUUUGCACCUCUAGUGUCUCAUGCGCUUGAUUAAGAUCACGUUCGGUUAGUCCGGAAUGGGCCGCUCCACACGGGAAUUGUUCUGACUUGAUCAAGGUUAUACAAAUUAGCCAACUAUUCUUAGAAACCAUUCUCGUUAGGAAUCGUUCGAGAAACCAAACGAGGCCUAGAGCAUCUUCAAGAGUUAUCUAUUUUUUACUUAGCAAAUCUUGUGAUUUGCCAACUCCCACAAUAAUAUAGGGAGUAAAAAAAUAGCACCUCUCUAAGAGUUUGCUAUUUUAGACUUGGUAAAAUGAAAAAAAGAAGGCCCACAAGAUGGUUUUUUCCUUGGGCGCUACUGAUUCCGCGCGCUUCCCCUCCUCCCCUUCGCGCAAACGAUUCUGUCGCCGCAUCGUAGCUUCAUCGAUCGGUUCCGUAACGUCAGACCUAGCGUGAACCCUAGAAGGACAAUGACUACCUAUAGCGCUGGCCUUGCCCUAGUAGACGUCGACUACCCUAGUUGUGCAUCCUAAACGCUGACGGCUAGGCUUCGCAUCGAGGAGAAACGAAGAACAGCGGCGACGCGACCUUUUCUUCACGCGGAUGAAGGAGGCGUACCCUUUUCUUCGCGCACACGGGGGAAGGAAAUGCGUGAAGGUUUCGUGUGCACAGAGGAAGGAAACGUGGCGCCAGAAAUCGUGAUGGCAAGUUGAUAUGCCAAGUUGCUAUUUUUACCAAGUUUAUUUACCCAACUGUUGGAGGCAAAUUUUUCUUGUUUUGCCAAAAUUAUAUGGAUUCCAAGUUAUUUUGCUAAACUCUUAGAGAUGCUUUUACCUUGCGAAUUGAUGAGAUAUAGGAGGAAGAAAAAGAAAACAUGAAAGCUAGAGAACCAAAGAGAUAGGAAACCUUGGUCAUGCUCCAUGCAUCAACGGCUGGUUCGUCACCUCAGUAUCGGUGUAUCACGAACACUUGGGCCUUGUUUAGUUCACCUUGAAAACCAAAAAUUUUUUAAGAUUCCCGUCACAUCAAAUCUUGUGACACAUGCAUGAAAUAUUAAAUAUAGACGAAAACAAAAACUAAUUACACAGAUUAGCUGUAAAUCACGAGACGAAUCUUUUGAUUCUAGUUAGUCUAUGAUUGGAUAAUAUUUGUCACAAACAAACGAAAGUGCUACAGUACCGAAAAUUUUUUACUUUUCGAAACUAAAGAAGACCUUGUAUGGCAAACCAGGACCCAAGAAAAAGUUGCGCAGGGAAGAGAACUCUUGCUCUCCUUUUUCUGAAAAAAAAAACGGCAGAGGCUUGUACAGUCGAUGGAGCUACUUAAUAGGACUCCAAAUAAUAGGUUUCUCUAUAAUAGAACUCCUAACAUUGCUUUCUCCUAAAUAGGACUCCAAACGUUGUUCAUAAGCUCUAAUAACAUUUCAAACUUUUUUUAAUCAAAAUUGGUAAUUUAAAAUACAUGUAUUUUUAGUUAAUGACGGUAUUGCCAAUCCGCCGUCGAGCCCCCAACGGCGGCGGGCCAUCUGCGAUCUGCCUGGACAUCGGGUUGCAGGCAGCACGGAGCACCAAGAGCGGGAGGUACCUGGCCGACAUCCAAUAUUUACUACUGACAGGAAGCCAUGACCAUGGCCAGCCAGCACGGCAGCCACGACCAUGCGCGGCAUGGCAGCAAGGCAACAAGGCAUCGGUUAAUGAAAAGCCAGGAAGCUUACAAUGUUUUUUUUUUCGUAACGUAGACAACCAUUACAGUCUAAUGACUAAAGGAUAAAAAAGUCACUUUAGGAACAAAUACAACAAGUAUUUAGAUAAGAAAAAAGAUUAAAAAAGCACAAAAUGUCAUUACAGCUUAUUACCAACGUUUAGAGUCUUAUUACCAACGUUAGGAAUCCUAUUUCGGAGAUGCCACACGAUUAGAGUCCUAUAAUAACCAUUUUCUCAUUACCAGGAACCAAAGUUUCUACAAAUAAAAUUCUAGGCUUUCUAGUUGCUCAUUAAGACUUUGAGAGGAAAGCUGUUAACAACGUCGUCCGUGCCCCAGCCGUCGCCGUUGCGCUGCUUCCUUUGGCUCACGGGACGACGGCGGCACGGCGCCCGGAUGUGCCCCGGCGUCUGCCGCCUGUGCCCGUGUGCACGGUCUUCUCGGCUGCGCCAGCCGGGCCGAGACGCUUUUGCCUUCUCUUUACCCCUCGCACUGGCCGCAGCUUCUGAUCACCAGACGAGGUUGUGAUCCACGGCCAUUCUCCCCUGCAGCAGCGGCCGGGACUCGCCGCGCGCGCACCGACGGAGGCCGCACGAGGCGACCGACGAGGACACGCGGCUGAGGACGUCGAGGAAGUGGCCCUCGUCGCAGGGGAGCGCGAUCGGUCCGGGACCCGCCGGGAAGCCGUACUCCUCCUCUGCCUGCCGCAGCAGGUCCCGGAACGCCGGGUGGCCGAGGCGCGCCACUCGCACCACGAACCGCCUCGGCCCCAACGCCGCCCCGUCGCCGUCGCCGCCGCCUCGCACGGACACCGCGACGUGCCCCGCCGGAACCGCGGCGCGGGACCGCCACCGCCGCAGCGUGUGGCGCAGCCAGACGAGCGACGAGAGCGUGAUCACCGCCUUGCACAUGGUUGGAACUUGGAAUUCGACUGGUGUUUGAGCGAGCCUUGUUUGAUUCGCUGUGCGGAGGCUUGCUUUGCGAUCGAGGGCGGAAUGGCAGGGCCGAUGGGGUGGGGUGGCCAUAUAUAUAGAGGUCGCGGUGGGCAUCGGCCACUGGAGUUGCCGGGAGUUUCAGGGAUGGCAUCGUGGGUUGGGGGGAUCUGGCAGCAGGGGUGCUGCGCGUGCACCAAACGGCUAGUUGCCUACUGCGAGUGCUGGUGGGUGAAAGUGAUUUUCACAGCUCUAUUUCACGUGGGACUCGUUCGCUUGUUUCUUUUUAAUCGCAAUGAACAUUUAUUGGCGAGAUUACAUGAAUGCACCGGAGCUAUUGACAUUAACGAAGGGGAACAAGCACACAAACACAUGCAAUUUUCCAACGAUCGUGGUUCAAAUUCGCAACUUUCGGAUGAUAUCCUCACUAGCUGUAAGAUUGCUGCUGAACAAUGGAGGUUCAAACUACCAAGAAGAAACAAGCAAAUUUCAGAUGUAUGGUGCCUUAGUUGGGAUAGUUCUCACUUGUUUGGCUUGACAGUACUGUCCAGGACAAAUCUUUGGUUUUGCCAUUAUAGCAGCGGAGCACUGAGCACAUGUCUUCUUAAACCCAACAUGUCUGUUUCCGCAUCUGCAUCGUGUCCUUCUGUUGGGAAUAUUUUUUUAUUUUUAGCCCAUUUUUAAAACAAAUUUCAAAUUUAGGCCGUUUAGGAAAAAAAUUUCAAAACUAGACCGUUUGGCCCCGCCACCAUGCAUGGCGGGGCAAAUACACAUGACCCCGCCAUGCAUGGCGGCGGGGUGCACUGGUGACGUGGCGCAUGGCUGGCAGAGUACGCUGACGUGUACCCCGCCGUGACUGAUGGCGGGUUUGCGCACCCCGCCGUGGAUCAUGGCGGGGCACGCCCAGGACCACUAAAAGCUCUUUCUCUCCCUCUGUCCUACCCUACCCUACCCGCGCCCGCAUCUUGUUUAGUUUAAAAAAAUUUGGAAAAUCGGUACUGUAGCACUUUCGUUUGUAUUUGACAAAUAUUGUCCAAUUAUGGACUAACUAGGGUCAAAAGAUUUGUCUCGUCAAUUUCGAUCAAACUGUACAAUUAGUUUUUAUUUUUGUUUAUAUUUAAUACUUUAUACAUAUGUCUAAAGAUUCGAUGUGACGGAAAAUCUAAAAAAUUUUGCAAAAUUUUUUGGAACUAAACAAGGCUGACAAGACUUGGUGGUGUGGUCACGUGAACAUGCACGACCGACUCGGGAAAAGUGGCCGAACUGACCACUCAGGCCUUGUUUAGUUAUGAAAAAAUUUCGGAUUUUACUACUGUAGCACUUUCGUUUUUAUUUGACAAAUAUUAUCUAAUUAUGAACUAACUAGUAUCAAAAGAUUCAUCUCGCGAUUUACAGAUAAAUUGUAUAAUUAGUUUUUAUUUUUGUCUAUAUUUAAUGUAUUAUGCAUAUGCCACUAUACUCAAUGUGACGGGAAAUCUAAAAAAUUUUGGGAACUAAACAAUGCCUGAACUAUGGGCGCAGCUUUAUGGACAUGAUGAUGACUACGGCUGCUGCUAGAGCUAGGCUUUGUCCAAAGCGACAUGAUGACCUUAAAACUCAAAAACUUUUCAAGAUUUUUUAUAAUAUUAAAUCUUGCAGCACAUAUAUGGAAUAUUAAAUAUAGAUAAAAACAAAAACUAAUUACACAGUUUGCCAGUAAAUUGCGAGAUGAAUCUUUUGAGUCUAGUUACUCUAUGAUUGGACAAUGUUUGUCAAAUAAAAACGAAAAUGUUACAGUACCAAAACCAAAAAAAUUUCGCAACUUAAACAAGACCCUAGACUAGACUCCAUGAUGUGCUCAAUUCGUACGAGAGGACAAACAUGUCCUGUCAGCCUUGUUUAAUUUCCAAAAAAUUUGCAAAAUUUUUCAGAUUCCCCGUUACAUCGAAUCUUAGACGUAUGUAUGAAGUAUUAAAUAUAGAUAAAAAUAAAAACUAAUUAUACAGUUUAGUCGAAAUUAACGAGACGAAUCUUUUGACCCUAGUUAGUCCAUAAUUGGAUAAUAUUUUUCAAAUACAAACGAAAAUACUACAGUAUCGACUUUUCCAAAAAUUUUUGGAACUAAACAAGUCCAGCUCUCUGCCUCGUGUGCAUUGCAUUGCUUGGUACGUACCCCGCCAUGAUCCAUGGCGGGGUAGCCCUAACCCGCCAGCGAUCAUGACGGGGUCCAGGUCAGCCACCUCGGCCAUGCAGCGCCACGUGGCAGGGUCUACCCCGCCACCAUGCAUGGCGGGGUGCAGUGUUUUUGCCCCGCCAUGCAUGGUGGCGGGGCCAAACGGCCUAGAUUUGAAAAUUUUUUAAGAAGCGGUCUAAAUUUGAAAUUUGUUUUAAAAAUGGACUAAAAAUAAAAAAAAAUUCUCUGUUGGCCACUCUGCCAUGGACGCAUGCCUUAGGGGCUGCCCCGCGCCUAAGAGAACACCCUCAAUGCAAGCUCCCCCCUCCCCGCGUGGUGGUUUUGUUGACUCAGUCUCACCUCGACCAUCAACCUGCAUGGCGCACGGCAGCGCCGGCGUUGACCAAGAUUAGGAUUCACACACACCCACUCUAUUGCUCAUUUAUGCUCUCUUUCAUUGUUGCAGUCCAUUCAGGUCGAGAGUGCAGAGUUCUUUAUUACCCAGGUAAGGAUCAACACACACGCCCGUUUUAUUAAUAUUGUUCAUGUUUGAUCCCUUUCAUUGUUGCGCUCCAUUGAGGUUGGGUGUAUGGCCAGCAACACCUAAGGUUGUCAGUUAGUUCACGUCGUGCUAUGGCAACACCAUCACAUGUUUAUAUAAUUUCCUAUUUUUUUAAUUCUUUCAGUUGAGGGUAACACCAAUGCUUGGUAAUAUUGCAAACUAGGAGGAUUCUCCAUGCGUUGUCGAGGGUAUGAAGGAUGAAUAUAAGUAUAUCUCUUUUAUUAGCAUAAUUGUGGAUAUUGUAUCCAUAGUGGAUGAUGUGUCCUGUUGAUGUAGAUAUCAUAAUUCUUGUGCUAGUGAACUUAAUGCAAAUGAUAGAAAAUUGCUGAGGUGGACACCUUGCAUGUCAAGAGAAAUUGAUAGUGGACUGCUGAGGUGGAUGCUUUGCAUUUUAAGAGAAAUAGAUAGUGAGGUUGAUAGUGGAUUGCUGAGGUGGACUCCUUGCAUGUCAAAAGAAUUAGAUAGUGGGGUUUUGCUUUAUAAGAGUUAUAGAUAGAUUUGGAUGUCUUGGAUUGUACUUGUAUAUCCAAAAAUAUUUCAAUUUUAGGCACUGUAAUGGCUGCACACUUUAUAAUAGAUAUAGAUAAAAAAUAGUUACAUCUGAGACGUAUCAUGUUUCCAAAUCCAUAUUUAGGUGUGUGACCAACCUCCAACCAGCAGACAAAGCAGAUCCCGUGCUCCAAGUUAGGGCUCGUUCGUUUAGCCAUUGUUCCAGAUGGAUUUAUUCUCGAUGAUCAAAAAUAGCAUAAAUUCGUACAACAUUCCUGGUGGGAAUCAUUCUAGACCUCCAUUCCGUAAGAAACGAACAGGGCCUUAGACUGCUCAUAGUAACGGUGCAACUGUAUUCCUUGCCUCCAGCCAACAAACAUGGUAUGAUGGCUCCACUUAUGCUCUUUCUACUUACUGCUGCGGUAUUGAUUUAGGGAUUCCACUAUGAUGCAGACUAUACAUAAAGAGAGGUAGAUCAAACUCACACAGGCACUCAAAUAGAGGUUCUGCCGUUAUAUUCAAUGAAACAAAGACGAAAUAUCCAGUAUGCUAAAGCUGAGUAUGAACAACAACCAUUCCUUCACUUCCCCAAAAUAUUGAGGAUAGCCUUUUAAUCACUUAGGGCCCGUUCGUUUACUUGGGAAUGGGUGGCUGGAAUAGUUUCAGCUGGAAUAACAAGUCUAUAGUAGCAUCACCUAAAUUUAUUCCUGCUCUCAAUCCACUCCAAACAAACGAGGCCUUUUAGAGCUGUGUAUUCGCCCUUCUAUCCGUGUACCCUUAUAUGAUUCCGGCAAAAAAACAUCCAUUACCAGUUAUUUUGUUAGAUGGUUUAUUUGCAUAUUGUCUAUAUUUAGGUUUCUUAAAAGAAAUCUUACAUCUGAUAACUGCAAACUCGAGCUAAAUGAAUCAGAACUUUACGCAAAAUGAGCUAAAGGAAUCCAAACUUUAAGCAAAGUAUUCCAGGUACCGUUCUCCAUAUAUUUUUCUAUGCAUUUUGUAAAUUAUCCAGUGCAUUCCGUGAUCUAAUUUGGGCUUCUGUUUUCCAGCAAGUUAGGUUUAGCGCUACCGAGAGGCAACCAGCACCAACGAAUACUACAAUAAAUAACUUGAUCAGAAUGAUGGCGAUUCACUGGAGUCAUCUCCAAAAUCUCCCAGGGAUCAGCAGUUCCACAACCAUGGAUUAUUUCAUCAGGACCAAGCUUCUUCAGCAGACAAUUAAAUAGAAUUAAGAAUUCAAGACUUCUCUUCUUUGCCUUCGAUUCUAUAAGAUCCGGAAUAAUAUCACUUUCAUAGUAUUUUUUCCAGAAUGUGUGUUCCAAUCACCCAUGAAUUUUGCUUGGCCGUCUGGUGGCUCAUGGAAAAAACAAACAAAGGUGUGUAUCCAGUUCAUGAACUGCAGCUACCUCAUGUUUACAAACAUAUUAUUUGUUAGGUGCGUGCUUAGAGCGUGCUUACCGAAAAAAACAUUGCAUUAUUGUUUCAAAUACAGAGAUAUGUACAAUAAUAAUAAGUAAAUAGUUUGAAAAAUGUUAGUUUCAUCAUUGGAUGAUUUCUAUUACUUAUGAAUUUCCUAAUUCUUCAUUCAUUACUCAGGGCUGCAUAUGGUAAUAAGGUACAUAAAAAUGAUACAUUGAUUCCCUUAUAUGUACCUUUAAAUAAUUCAUAUUUGUUCAUUUUUUGGAUAUUUCUUUACUAAAUGUAUUACUUAAUUUAUCCAGGUCCUGCAAGACAACUACUGUUGUCACAUAGGGUCUUUGCCACUGCAUAAAAAUCUGUUGUACAUCACGUAUGCUGUCACCUUGCUGCCUGCGCGGGGUUCCAGCUAGUUAGGCCCUGUUUAGUUCCCCACUCAAAAUUUUUUCAUCCAUCCCAUUAAAUCUUUGGACAUAUGCAUGGAACAUUAAAUAUACAUAAAAAAAUAAACUAAUUACACAGUUUGGUUGAAAACCGCGAGACGAAUCUUUUAAGCCUAGUUACUCUAAGAUUAGUCUUAAGUGCUAAAACCCACAUAUGCUAAUGAUAAAUUAAUUAUGCUUAAUAGAUUUGUCUUGCAGUUUCCUGACGAGCUAUGUAAUUUGUUUUUUUAUUAGUUUUUAAAAACCCCUCCCGACAUCCUUUCGACAUAUCCGAUGUGACACCCAAAAAAUUUUCAUCUCCAAUCUAAACAGGGCCUUAUAUUACAUUUGUGAUUUCUGAUGAACAGGGCAUGGUCGCAUGGAAUAGAAACAUUUAUCACCGGCAUUAUACAUGCAGGACCUGAUGUCAGACAGCAUGCAAAUAAUACAAAUCAACAUUCCUUCAUCCCCCUAACCAAACCAAAUAAAACACAAAUAUAUAUCUAUAUUCUGAGCUGACCAACUGCAUGCCUCUCUAUCUAAAAAAACUCUAUUCCUACCUUCGUGAUCUCAUCUUUCUCAGCCUUCUCUGUAGCGCCUACAAUCGAGAUAGUAAGCUGAUCACUGCAAGAAGAAAGACAAAUUAGUCUUAGUUCAAACAAAUGUGAAUGAAUGUCAUUGAAAUGUGUGGUUACUCAAGCUGACACUCUGCAAAACAUUAUAAAAUAUAAGCUGCUGCUUUUCAUCACAGCUUAUGUAAGAACUGAUUGCAUUUCAGCACAGGUUAGCUAUUUACAACAUUACAAGAUAGUAAAUUAGGGCCAUACACUAGCUAUUGACAACUAUUGAUGAGUUAGCUACUGACGAAAACAACUGUUCAGUAAUUUCAAGAGAUCAAAGGGGACACUUUUUUCUAAUGAUUUCCAGUGUUAAUGGUAAUGGAAGCAGCUUCUUCAUUGAGAUAUAUACAUACCCUAGCGCCACAGUGACGAAGAUCUCCAGCGUGAGUCCCCGCGGGGCGCGGUGCAAAAUGCUAACCUGGCCCCUCACCCGCCCGGAUUUGCAGGGAUGAUUUGCGUAUCUAGCUACUCAAUUAAACAAAACAAAUAAUCACAGCUUCCACUUAAAGAAACAAAUAAUCACAGCUUUCUUUCCCCUAAUAAUGCUGAAAUCUUCUAAAAAAAAUAAUGCUGAUAUCCAUGUGUAGUAUCCGUAUGAUUUUUCUGGCAUGCAUGUAGGAUUCGUACAAACCUUCGAUUUGGACUGAAAGUUAUGCCCUGUUUCUAGUGACGAUCUAAAUUAAUGUUUAGGUGUGGCUUUAAAAAUUGCUACUACAACAUCGAAUAUACAAAUAAGAUAUAUUUAGAGACGACUUUGUUAAGUCAGUCACUUUGAAAAUUGAUUUUUACGGUUGUCCAAAAGUGAUUUUAAUAUUUGAAAAUCAUUCUAAAAUAAAACAUUUUCAUAUGCCAUGAUAAAAUUGCAGCUAUCGCAAGAUUUAAUUUUCAACAUCUGUCAUAAGUAUGUCCAUAAGAAUUAGAUCCAUUACAUCCACCGCACAUACAUUUUCUUUAUCGCCAAUACCACAAUUAAAAAUUUAUUACUUAUAAAACUAAGGAUAAGGUAUUGUCCUUUUGUAUUAACAUAUACAUACCAUUUUUUGGCUCUAAAUAAUCUCAAAUGGAGAACUUUUCAUCUACAAAGUUUUAGGUCACGUUGAACACUACAACUAUGAUAUAGGGUUUGUCUUCAUCCGAGAUCAAUUGGAAAAAUAAAAAAUAACAUUUCAAAACCUAAGAAAUCAUAUUUCUAGAUGUGAUUCUCUUGAGCUGAUUGCUCCUGAAAAUGGAUAUUUCUCUGUAAACGGUUUCCUUAUAGAAUCAUUUUAAAAUAUAUUUCCAAGGACGUUUAACUAUAGUAUUUCUGGUACGGGUAUAUAUAACCAUGGUCGGUGUGAAAUAGAUCAAAUUUUCUCAAUUUCGACUAAGCUGGUAGAAAAUAUGUGUAAUAUUUAUAUCUUUAAAUAAGUUUAUUAGUGAUAUUACGAAUUAAGUAUUAUAAAUAUUAAUAUUCUUAUAUAUAUAUAUUUGGUUAAAAUUAAAAGUAUUUGACUUCUUGAGAAGUGAGAAUGAUAUUUAUUUUGGGAUAGAAGGGGCAGUAACCGAGGGCGUCUUAGAGUCCGUCCGUAAUAUGUAAUAAACAGAUAUAUCUAUAUCUGACAAUCAUAUUGUAAUAUUUUAUACUCCCUCUGUUCUCAAAUAUAGUAUAUUGUGACUUCUAAAAUUUGUGGUGAGCAAAUGAUGUCAUGACUAGAUUUGACAAAGUUUGUUGAAAAAAGAAACCAUAAUUUGAGAAUAAACACCCUAAUUAGGUUUAGGCCUUGAGAUUCAAAAAAAUUUUGGAUUUUAAUACUGUAUCACUUUUAUUUUUAUUUAACAAAUAUUGUCCAAUUAUGGAGUAACUAGACUUAAAAGAUUCGUCUCGCGAUUUACAAACUGUGCAAUUAGUUUUUGUUUUCAUCUAUAUUUGAUGCUCUAUGCAUGUGCUGCAAGAUUCGAUGUAACGGAGAAUCAUAUUUUUUUUGGGUUUUUGGUUGAACUAAACAACACCUUAAUCUAUGGACACAUACAUCAUUUGAGAAUUCCCUUAAGCUGUCUUUAAAUUUUUUGGAAUGCACUGUAGUAGUUAAGAACGGAGGGAGUAAGUUGCAGCAGAAAGUGGCCAAAACUAUCCAUGUUUAACCUAAUAAAUAACCAGUGCACAAUAUACUUGAACGUUGCAUUAGAAGGUGGCAACACUGGCCCAAAUUCUAUACAAGACGCGGCAAAGCCACCCUGUUACUGUAGUAUUUUUGCUGUAAAGCACCGCAUUAGCAGCUCAAAACCUUCAAGAGAGGAGAACCGACAACAAUUGUACAGGUUAAAUAUCCCCGGUGGCCGGCACAGAAGCUGCCCGUACAGGUUAGAUCCUAACGCGUUAUAACAGGAACGUACAAAAGUGCACAGUAUAUUUUGUCCUCGGUAAAGAUGGCAACUACCAGAGGCCAAAUAGGCGUGCGAUCAAAGACG